CCGGAGGGACUGGAAAACAAGCC
This 23-nucleotide non-coding RNA is filed under the name Cricetulus griseus (Chinese hamster). Lineage: Eukaryota; Metazoa; Chordata; Mammalia; Rodentia; Cricetidae. The record is from RNAcentral.